CCAUAGGAUGGGACUGCGGCCUAUCAGUUUGUUGGUGAGGUAAUGGCCCACCAAGACUAUUUCAGGUACGGGCUCUGAGAGGAGUAGCCCGGAGAUGGGUACUGAGACACGGACCCAGGCCCUAUGGGGCGCAGCAGGCGAGAAAACUUUGCAAUGUGCGAAAGCACGACAAGGUUAAUCCGAGUGGUUUCUGCUAAAGAAACCUUUUGUCAGUCCUAGAAACACUAACGAAUAAGGGGUGGGCAAGUUCUGGUGUCAGCCGCCGCGGUAAAACCAGCACCUCAAGUGGUCAGGAUGAUUAUUGGGCCUAAAGCAUCCGUAGCUCGUUCUGUAAGUUUUCGGUUAAAUCCAUGCGCUUAACGUAUGGGCUGCCGGGAAUACUGCAUAACUAGGAAGUGGGAGAGGUAGACGGUACUCGGGAGGAAGGGGUAAAAUCCUUUGAUCUCUUGAUGACCACCUGUGGCGAAGGCGGUCUACCAGAACACGUUCGACGGUGAGGGAUGAAAGCUGGGGGAGCAAACCGGAUUAGAUACCCGGGUAGUCCCAGCUGUAAACUAUGCAAACUCAGUGAUGCAUUGGCUUAUGGCCAAUGCAGUGCUGCAGGGAAGCCGUUAAGUUUGCCGCCUGGGAAGUACGUACGCAAGUAUGAAACUUAAAGGAAUUGGCGGGGGAGCACCACAAGGGGUGAAGCCUGCGGUUC
RNAcentral lists this ribosomal RNA (700 nucleotides) under uncultured archaeon. Its description in RNAcentral is "bacterial SSU rRNA". It matches the Rfam family "Archaeal small subunit ribosomal RNA", at positions 202 to 903 of the family's 1478-position model. The record is from RNAcentral.